RNAcentral lists this long non-coding RNA (212 nucleotides) under Elaeis guineensis (African oil palm). RNAcentral's name for it is "long non-coding RNA (EGUI_LNC062250)". The record is from RNAcentral. Lineage: Eukaryota; Viridiplantae; Streptophyta; Magnoliopsida; Arecales; Arecaceae.
GACUUUAGUCUAAAGAUUCUCCCACUACAUUUACAAAUUGGUAGCCUCUACCUUCAACUCAAGAAUUACACUAAUUUUUUAGUGGGAACUAGAAUCCACAUGGAUUACAUUUGGGCCUGAGUGUGGCUCGAUCAAUCCUAGUACAUCGAUGGGUUGGUUCAUUACCAAUUGUUCCUCCAAACAACUUCUAGCAAUAAGUUUUGUCCCAGGCA